GACAGAGGGUGCAAGCGUUGUCCGGAUUUAUUGGGCGUAAAACGUCUGUAGGCGGUUUAUUAAGUCUGAAGUUAAAUAGUUGAGCUCAACUCAAUCUCUGCUCCAGAUACUGAUAAACUAGAGUGCGUUAGGGGUUAUUGGAAUUCCCGGUGUAGUGGUGAAAUACGUAGAUAUCGGGAGGAACUCCAGUGGCGAAAGCGAAUAACUGGGGCGUAACUGACGCUGAGAGACGAAAGCGUGGGGAGCAAAAAGG
RNAcentral lists this ribosomal RNA (253 nucleotides) under uncultured bacterium. RNAcentral describes it as "partial 16S ribosomal RNA". It matches the Rfam family "Bacterial small subunit ribosomal RNA", at positions 524 to 776 of the family's 1533-position model. The record is from RNAcentral.